CUGUCGGCUGUCCGCCCCCAGGUGGGGCACGGGUGGAAGUCCUCUUUCUCGGCGCGCGCUGCCCUGUCGGAAUCAUAGGGUGGGUGGGUUGGAAGAGACCUUAGAGCCCAUCCAGUUCCACCCCCCCUGCCAUGGGCAGGGACACCUCCCACUAGAUCAGGCUGCGCAACGCCCCAUCCAACCUGGCCUUGAACACCUCCAGGAAUGGGGCAGCCACAGCUUCCCUGGGCAACCUGUGCCACUGCCUCACCACCCUCACAGGAAAACAUUUUCUUCCUAAGGGAAAAGGAGACCAGGUGGCCAAGAAGACCGACAGCAUCCUGGCCUGUAUCUGAAACAGUGUGACCAGCAGGAGCAGGGAAGUAGUUUUGCCCCUUUACUCAACAUUGGUGACGCUGCACCUCGAAUCCUGUGUUCAGUUUUGGGCUCCUCACAAGGAGGACAUUGAGGGGCUGGAGUGUGUCCAGAGAAGGACAAUGUAGCUGGUGAAGGGGCUGGAGAACAGGUGCUAUGAAAGGCUCUGCUUUGGACCUGGACAUUGUCAAGAGCGUGGUGUGAAAAAUGUAACCCUUUUCCCAGUCAUGUCUCUGCAUCCAAGCUGCAGAACAGCCUCUUCCCAGACCAGAAAAUAUCUUGGCUUCUAAAUGUCUCCCACAGUAAUUAAAAUUUCACCUUAAUAAACAUAGAUGUAUUUUGAAAAUUAAUACAUUAAGAAAUGUGAGCAGCUCAUCUAAUUAUAUCCUUCUACCAGGACAGAUGGGAAUUCCAUUCUUCUGAGCACUGUUCCACGAUGAUGCAAUGCUGCCGUCUCGGUUCAAGGCAGGCAGCAUGGGUAGAUCAACCACUUCCCUGAACAUUGCCUCUGCAGGCCGAGAGACUUACCUACUGUAGAACCACAGGACUUGUACCAACUAGGGCCCGACUUCAAUGCUGGAAGCUGUGUAGAAGGUUAUAAAUCUGAUCAAUGUUAAAAAUAAGUGUGUUCCUAGAAAAACCGUUUAUUUGUGGUUGCUGAGGACUGUGGUAGUAUUUGAAAUUCAGUGCAUGAGUGGAGAAGGCAAAGUCACCAAGGCCUCACUGAUGCCAGAGAGAUUGUCCCUGUCUUACUCCUUUUGCAUCCAGUUCCUUCCAAAGGACCAAAGCCUCCCAGCUUUCAUCUGAACACAAGAUCAACAAUAUUGCACAACUUGGCAAGAUAAGAUUGCAUGUGAUUACAAAAACAUUGGCAAAGGCUACCUGCUAACAGACCUACAAGAUGGCCUCACCUUAAGAAGAGAUCCUCUUUCCAGUAGAAGAACUUCUGUGGCUGAUCUGCUAGCCAACUUGGGUCUGAGAACUUCUUUCAUCUAGAGAAGAUGGCCACUUUUUUUUUUUCAUUUAGAAGUAAAAAUAGGUAAUAACCUUUUCUUACGCUCUAAUAAAGACUGUUUUAACUAUCUACAUCUAAGUCUUGCUCUGCAAAAUGGACUUUGUUACGUUUAUAGUUUUGCUCAUCACAAUCUUCUAAACAUUUUGCGUUUCGAUUCUUUUUCUCAUGAUGGGUACAUUUUGCAUUUUGCCAUGAAUUUUCUCAUGCAGGUCGUACUAAGCAAGAUGGAAGCUAUGACCUCAAACCCUUCAAACUUGUGUAGCUAAGUUGACAUGACAGUGUAAUGCCUUUGAUUUUCUGAGCCCUUCACCGCAUGGAAACUAGCGCAACAGUGUGCACAACUCUCCUGCGCACACAACACAUCUGCAUCUAUAUAUUUUGGCCUUAGCUGACACUGGUUUCUAAAAGUACUGUAGAAUUUAAGUGUCACAAUUAUUAUUCUAAGUGCAAGUAAUCAUUCAGUAAGCAAUGCUGUCUCAUGCAAAGUCAAAGGGAGUCAAAGUAAAUAUUUUCUUUGGCUUUAGCUGGCUUUAUGUCAGGCUGCAUGCAUCAUAUUAAAAAUUAAGGAAGAGCUUAAAAUUAAAAUGAAGUUGCAUUAAUAGUUCCUUCUUCAGAAAGGCCCAUGGGGCUAAAAAAAGAUGGAGGUUAAAAAAAGAACUUUUUUCCUUUGCUGUACUAAAAAUGGCAUAUUGUGUUGGGUCAUGGAAUAAAUAGUACUGAAAUGUGAAAAGAAUGGAACCAGAAUUUGAAUGGAAUCUGCAUAAAUUCUAAGACAUGGUUUCUUCGGGGCAAAAGGGAAAAAAAAGAGUUGUUUACUCUGAAAACUUCACAGUAAAAUAUAAAUAGACUCAAGUGAGCUACGAAACUUCAAGAGAGGUCUGAGUCCUGAUGUAACAAGAUUAAAAAACCUGUUUUAUGAUUGCUUAUUGGAAAUCACAACAGUCAAAAAGAUCAUUAACAGGACCAGAGAGCACUAAGGGUUUAAAAAUAGAAAUGUAUCUGUGCCUUGGCUUGGGACUUAUUCACCCUUAAGCUAUUUAAGACUGCAAAUAUUUGUAAGACAGUAUCUUAGAAACACAAUGACAUGGAAAUCCAGAAGAUUCAGACUCUUACUGCCGACACAAUGGUGGGUGUGAUUUCCUCCUCAGAUUCACCAGCUGAAGUUGUGUCUUUGCCACAACCUUUGGGAAGCAAAAAGCAAACAGCACAUUUUAGCAAUGCUUCAAAAGUGGUCUACGCAGCCACUUCCAGCGGUAGUCUUUCCUACUAUUGUCUGCAUUUGCUCUCGGACUUAGUAAACCCGUGUAAUGAUUUUCCUGUUUAAUGCAUUGACACAUUGGGGUUUGGCUUUUUUGUUUGGUUUGUUGGUUGGGUU
Long non-coding RNA from Cuculus canorus (common cuckoo), 2744 nucleotides. RefSeq lists it as uncharacterized. Lineage: Eukaryota; Metazoa; Chordata; Aves; Cuculiformes; Cuculidae. The record is from RefSeq and is a predicted model, not a curated record. The transcript has 4 exons.